RNAcentral lists this ribosomal RNA (377 nucleotides) under uncultured bacterium. RNAcentral's name for it is "bacterial SSU rRNA". It matches the Rfam family "Bacterial small subunit ribosomal RNA", at positions 30 to 414 of the family's 1533-position model. The record is from RNAcentral.
AUUGAACGCUGGCGGCAGGCCUAACACAUGCAAGUCGAGCGGUAACACAAGGGAGCUUGCUCCUGAGGUGACGAGCGGCGGACGGGUGAGUAAUGCCUAGGUAUCUGCCCAGUCGAGGGGGAUAACAGUUGGAAACGACUGCUAAUACCGCAUACGCCCUACGGGGAAAGAGGGACCUUCGGGCCUUCCGCGAUUGGAUGAACCUAGGUGGGAUUAGCUAGUUGGUGAGGUAAUGGCUCACCAAGGCGACGAUCCCUAGCUGGUUGAGAGGAUGAUCAGCCAACUGAACUGAGACACGGUCCAGACUCCUACGGCAGCAGUGGGAAUAUUGCACAAUGGGCAAGCCUGAUGCAGCCAUGCCGCGUGUGUGAAGAAGG